GACGCGCCAUCGCCACCAUCAUCAUCACCUUGGGCGACAAAGGAAGAUGGGUGGGCAUGAAGUAGUCAGUUGUUGAAGCUGACACGACAGUGCCCAGGGAGCCAGCAAAUUGGCAAGCGGAUUGGCUAACCAAGUUCUUGCUCUUUGUUGGUGUGACAAUUUGGAAACGAACAGCGACGGGAUGACGAACAAACUUUCUUGAGUGAAACGGUAUUCCAGGCGACCAGUUCUUUUUCAUACGUCGUAUGGGAGAAGUACGUCGUUCGUGUUUCCGGCCAAGAUUCAGGUUUCUUCUAAUCUGAAGUGUGUGGU
This is a long non-coding RNA of Ornithodoros turicata, 312 nucleotides long. RefSeq lists it as uncharacterized. Lineage: Eukaryota; Metazoa; Arthropoda; Arachnida; Ixodida; Argasidae. The record is from RefSeq and is a predicted model, not a curated record. The transcript is spliced from 3 exons.